This 280-nucleotide ribosomal RNA is filed under the name uncultured bacterium. Its description in RNAcentral is "partial 16S ribosomal RNA". It matches the Rfam family "Bacterial small subunit ribosomal RNA", at positions 338 to 609 of the family's 1533-position model. The record is from RNAcentral.
CCUACGGGUGGCAGCAGUGGGGAAUAUUGGACAAUGGGCGGAAGCCUGAUCCAGCCAUGCCGCGUGUGUGAAGAAGGCCUUUUGGUUGUAAAGCAUUUUAAGCGAGGAGGAGGCUACUAGUACUAAUACUACUGGAUAGUGGACGUUACUCGCAGAAUAAGCACCGGCUAACUCUGUGCCAGCAGCCGCGGUAAUACAGAGGGUGCGAGCGUUAAUCGGAUUUACUGGGCGUAAAGCGUGCGUAGGCGGCUGAUUAAGUCGGAUGUGAAAUCCCUGAGCU